UACGAAGGAUGCGAGCGUUAUCCGGAUUUAUUGGGUUUAAAGGGUGCGUAGGCGGCUUAUUAAGUCAGUGGUGAAAUCCUCAAGCUUAACUUGGGAAUUGCCAUUGAUACUGAUGAGCUUGAGUACACUUGAGGUAGGCGGAAUGUGUCAUGUAGCGGUGAAAUGCUUAGAUAUGACACAGAACACCGAUUGCGAAGGCAGCUUACUAAAGUGUAACUGACGCUGAGGCACGAAAGCGUGGGGAUCAAACAGG
Molecule: ribosomal RNA, 253 nt
Filed under: uncultured bacterium
Lineage: Bacteria
Description: partial 16S ribosomal RNA
Rfam family: Bacterial small subunit ribosomal RNA
Source: RNAcentral